Molecule: transfer RNA, 72 nt
Filed under: Camelus bactrianus (Bactrian camel)
Lineage: Eukaryota; Metazoa; Chordata; Mammalia; Artiodactyla; Camelidae
Also listed under: 1 other name
Rfam family: tRNA
About the family: Transfer RNA (tRNA) molecules are approximately 80 nucleotides in length.
Source: Rfam by way of RNAcentral
GAGGGUAUAGCUCAGUGGUAGGGCACUUGCUUAGCAUGCACGAGGUCCUGGGUUCAAUCCCCAGUACUACCA